GUGCGGCGGACCGAUUAAGAUUUUUGUCCUACGAUUGCAACUAAUCAGCUAUCGGCUGCAGACCCGCGCGUCGCCUUGUACCGGAAUACAGAGCGUACAGAAAAAGAAGAGGAGGAAAAAACAGAGCAAAAGGAGGAGGAAAGCAAGAUUGAAGAAGUCAAAGAGAAGAAAAGGAGAAAAAAAAAAAUGGGGAGAUUCUCGUCUAUCCACGUGAUCGUGAUUCCAGGAAACUGCACAGCUGGGAACGCGAAGUCGUAUAGGAAUUUCAUUGUAGAAAAUUGAAAAAAUAAGAGAAUAUGCAAAUGGGCAG
Molecule: unclassified non-coding RNA, 310 nt
Filed under: Athalia rosae (coleseed sawfly)
Lineage: Eukaryota; Metazoa; Arthropoda; Insecta; Hymenoptera; Athaliidae
Description: misc RNA ENSAEAG00005009916.1
Source: RNAcentral